This 362-nucleotide ribosomal RNA is filed under the name uncultured Pseudomonas sp. RNAcentral's name for it is "bacterial SSU rRNA". It matches the Rfam family "Bacterial small subunit ribosomal RNA", at positions 1021 to 1382 of the family's 1533-position model. The record is from RNAcentral. Lineage: Bacteria; Pseudomonadati; Pseudomonadota; Gammaproteobacteria; Pseudomonadales; Pseudomonadaceae.
CGGGAACUCUGACACAGGUGCUGCAUGGCUGUCGUCAGCUCGUGCGUUGAGAUGUUGGGUUAAGUCCCGUAACGAGCGCAACCCUUGUCCUUAGUUACCAGCACGUUAUGGUGGGCACUCUAAGGAGACUGCCGGUGACAAACCGGAGGAAGGUGGGGAUGACGUCAAGUCAUCAUGGCCCUUACGGCCUGGGCUACACACGUGCUACAAUGGUCGGUACAAAGGGUUGCCAAGCCGCGAGGUGGAGCUAAUCCCAUAAAACCGAUCGUAGUCCGGAUCGCAGUCUGCAACUCGACUGCGUGAAGUCGGAAUCGCUAGUAAUCGUGAAUCAGAAUGUCACGGUGAAUACGUUCCCGGGCCUU